CUACGGGAGGCACCAGUGGGGAAUAUUGCACAAUGGAGGAAACUCUGAUGCAGCAACGCCGCGUGGAGGAUGACACAUUUCGGUGCGUAAACUCCUUUUAUGUGAGAAGAUAAUGACGGUAUCACAUGAAUAAGCACCGGCUAACUCCGUGCCAGCAGCCGCGGUAAUACGGAGGGUGCAAGCGUUACUCGGAAUCACUGGGCGUAAAGCGCGCGCAGGCGGCUUUUCAAGUUGGAUGUGAAAUCCUAUGGCUUAACCAUAGAGCUGCAUCCAAAACUGUUAAGCUAGAGUCUGGGAGGGGAGAAUGGAAUUAGAUGUGUAGGGGUGAAAGCCGUAGAGAUAACUAGGAAUACCAAAAGCGAAGGCGGCCUUCUGGAACAGUACUGACGCUGAGGCGCGAAAGCGUGGGGAGCAAACAGGAUUAGAUACCCCCGUAGUC
Molecule: ribosomal RNA, 439 nt
Filed under: uncultured bacterium
Lineage: Bacteria
Description: partial 16S ribosomal RNA
Rfam family: Bacterial small subunit ribosomal RNA
Source: RNAcentral